This 588-nucleotide ribosomal RNA is filed under the name uncultured Chloroflexota bacterium. Its description in RNAcentral is "bacterial SSU rRNA". It matches the Rfam family "Bacterial small subunit ribosomal RNA", at positions 62 to 673 of the family's 1533-position model. The record is from RNAcentral. Lineage: Bacteria; Bacillati; Chloroflexota.
UCGAACGGUUCCGGCUCGUCCGGGACAGUGGCGAACGGCUGAGUAACACGUGAGCAACCUGCCUCUAAGUGGGGGAUAACUCCGGGAAACUGGAGCUAAUACCGCAUGUGGUAGUAAGGCGAAGGCCUUACUAAGAAAGCCGCAAGGCGCUUGGAGAGGGGCUUGCGUCCUAUCAGGUAGUUGGUGAGGUAAUGGCCCACCAAGCCUAUGACGGGUAGCUGGUCUGAGAGGAUGACCAGCCAGACGGGGACUGAGACACGGCCCCGACUCCUACGGGGGGCAGCAGCAAGGGAUUUUGGGCAAUGGGCGAAAGCCUGACCCAGCGACACCGCGUGGGGGAUGAAGGCCUUCGGGUUGUAAACCCCUUUUCUCAGGGAAGAAUAAUGACGGUACCUGAGGAAUAAGCCUCGGCUAACUACGUGCCAGCAGCCGCGGUAAUACGUAGGAGGCAAGCGUUACCCGGAUUUAUUGGGCGUAAAGAGAACGUAGGCGGUUUACCAAGUCAGGUGUGAAAUCUCACUGCUUAACGGUGAGGGGUCAUUUGAUACUGGUAGGCUAGAGGGUUGCAGGGGAAAGCGGAAUUCCCGG